UGAUUGAAUUUGAAUUAUGAAGGUAACUUGUACAUAACUCAUGAACUUUUAAAGGAAAACAAAUGCAUGCCUUUGGCAUCCUUAUCCAUUCAAAUAAGUACUAGUCGUCAAAACAAUUGUAUAACUCAAUGCACAAAUUGGAGUCAUCGUCGCCAGAUUUCAUGCCCUGGUAUAUACUGAUAUAUACACUGCCACCAAAGCAACCGCAUGCACUUUUAUGCUGCGUCCUUAUUUUCUUAUGGCCAAGAGCCUUUUCAGUGGAUUAGGUUACUUAGACAGGUCUUUCUUUUGAGCAAAAAAAAUACAGGUCUUUCUAUCCAUUGAAUGUUCCCAAAAAUACUCUGUUACGUGUUUGUAUU
RNAcentral lists this long non-coding RNA (359 nucleotides) under Brassica napus (rape). RNAcentral's name for it is "long non-coding RNA (BNAP_LNC021801)". The record is from RNAcentral. Lineage: Eukaryota; Viridiplantae; Streptophyta; Magnoliopsida; Brassicales; Brassicaceae.